AGUGUCUGACAUCAACUGCAGGCUCCGUGGGUACCCUGAGUGCAAUUUGAAGUCCGUGUGACCCCUGCCCUGACCACCUCCUGGGGAGGCCAUGUUUCCUGUGGGUGGCGGUGCGUGGCAGGUUGUCCCCGGUUACAGGCGGGAGGAGAGGCGUCAGAGUGUGCGGCACAGACCCAGGUACUUUUCUCAUACAGGGUGAUACAUCCUCCUAGUCCAGGCACGUGAUAUCUAUUUGCCAGCCCAUUGGGAAAGAGCAGUGGCUAUCUGGGAGACGUCAUGAACACCUCUUCCUCUCCCUGCGUCUCUCUGCGGUGGUCAGUGUGAACAGCCUUAGAUUCUUCUGGGUGAUUCACAGGCCCGUUGAUGACAGGUAUUUUCCAAGCCUGGGCCUCUACAGCCACAGCUGCCCCUCCCAGUGUUUCCCGCGCUGAGUGUGUGAAGAACCGCUGGACGUGUGGGUGAUCGGGGCUUGCGAGCACCCGGCCACCCCCCAGCCGCCCCCACGCGCCCCGAUAAGGGAGCUGACCCCUCUGUUGUCACAUUCUCCCAGAGAUUAGCCACAGUAGUUGGGGUAGAUUGGACCGAGCUGCCAGGGAACAGAGAACCAGAGAGAAGGGGCAGAGGUCAAGCAUGUAUGGUAGUAAUGUUCUUCAGCUCCUAUCUCUGAUAAUAAGGAUACGCCGCUUUAAAAAAAAUGAUAUACCCAAAUCUAACUGCCUGUAGCUCAGGCCCUGAAGCAAGGAUAUGCAUAUUCUUGGUACCAUUUGAAAGGAAACACUUUGAGGUUUGUGGAAAUGUGAAAGGAAUGUAGGAGAAUAUAACACAAUAGAUCUGGUAGAAGACAAUACAAAGAGAAAACCAACCUUUCUUUUGUAUUUUUUUUGUACCAUCUUUAAAAUGCAAGAGAAAGGCCAUAAUGUAUUAUUCCAGCCCAGGUACAAUUUAGGUUUUGGCCACUAGAUGGCAGCAGUGUAUGUGCAAAGUUUUAGACUGCUCCAAUGAACCAUUGCAUUUCUGUUCAAAAAUGUUGUAUCAGACUGCCCAAAUGUGCCUAAUUUGUUUAUUAACAACUUUUCAUGUUCAAAAUUGUGCACUCUCCUCAAACAAUAGCAUGGUAUUCUUUCACUCUAAUAGCUACUGUAAAUUGGACAGUGCAGUUAGAUUAACAAGAAUUUAAGCUUUCUGACAAUAUCAGAUAUGUCUAUGUCCUGGGAAAUGUUCUUGUUACUUACAACCUCAUGCUAAUUGCAUUAGCCUACGUUAGCUCAACCGUCCCGUGGACAGAACACUGAUCCCAUAGAAGAUAAGGUGUAGAGCUGUAGGGUCUUCCCAAAGUGAUGGGGGACCGUGAAAAACUCAUCUUGAGUUAGAAUAGAGUUCAUCUCAAGUCUGGCCUGAAAUAGAUGGCCAUUCCCAUGAUGCAGCUAGACUUCUAGAUUUUUUGCUGUCAUAUGGAAACUGUUAUUGCUUCUUAUGAUAUUUAUCAUAUUCUUGUUUUAUGUUUCAUAAAACAUUUGUAAAAGACAACUGAAAGUAUUCAGGUGUGUUUGCAGUCAAUACAAAGUUUUAUGUUUUUGGUUUAGAAUUUUCAGACCUCUUUGAGCGUUGGGCCAGUAACUGAAAGGUUGCUGGUUAGAAUACCCAAGCCGACAAGGUGAAAAAUCUGUUGAUGUGCCCUUGAGCAAGGCACUUAACCCUAAUUUGCUCCAGGGUGCCGUACUACUAUGGCUGAACCUGUAAAACAUCAUUUUUCACUGCACCUAUCCGGUGAAUUUGACAAUAAAACUUUUUUAUUUUUGACACAUCAAUGCCCAUCCUUAUACAUUUACAUUUAAGUCAUUUAGCAGACGCUCUUAUCCAGAGCGACUUACAAAUUGGUGCGUUCACCUUAAGACAUCCAGUGGAACAGCCACUUUACAAUAGUGCAUCUAAAUCUU
Oncorhynchus nerka (sockeye salmon) is the source of this 1937-nucleotide long non-coding RNA. RefSeq lists it as uncharacterized. The record is from RefSeq and is a predicted model, not a curated record. The transcript is spliced from 3 exons. NCBI's taxonomy places the organism in Eukaryota, Metazoa, Chordata, Actinopteri, Salmoniformes, Salmonidae.